Molecule: ribosomal RNA, 468 nt
Filed under: uncultured bacterium
Lineage: Bacteria
Description: partial 16S ribosomal RNA
Rfam family: Bacterial small subunit ribosomal RNA
Source: RNAcentral
GACGAACGCUGGCGGCGUGCUUAACACAUGCAAGUCGAACGGAAAGGCCCUGCUUUUGUGGGGUGCUCGAGUGGCGAACGGGUGAGUAACACGUGAGUAACCUGCCCUUGACUUUGGGAUAACUUCAGGAAACUGGGGCUAAUACCGGAUAGGAGCUCCUGCUGCAUGGUGGGGGUUGGAAAGUUUCGGCGGUUGGGGAUGGACUCGCGGCUUAUCAGCUUGUUGGUGGGGUAGUGGCUUACCAAGGCUUUGACGGGUAGCCGGCCUGAGAGGGUGACCGGCCACAUUGGGACUGAGAUACGGCCCAGACUCCUACGGGAGGCAGCAGUGGGGAAUAUUGCACAAUGGGCGGAAGCCUGAUGCAGCAACGCCGCGUGCGGGAUGACGGCCUUCGGGUUGAAAACCGCUUUCGCCUGUGACGAAGCGUGAGUGACGGUAAUGGGUAAAGAAGCACCGGCCAACUACGUG